AGAGUUUGAUCAUGGCUCAGAUUGAACGCUGGCGGCAGGCCUAACACAUGCAAGUCGAGCGGUAGCACAGAGAGCUUGCUCUCGGGUGACGAGCGGCGGACGGGUGAGUAAUGUCUGGGAAACUGCCUGAUGGAGGGGGAUAACUACUGGAAACGGUAGCUAAUACCGCAUAAUGUCGCAAGACCAAAGUGGGGGACCUUCGGGCCUCAUGCCAUCAGAUGUGCCCAGAUGGGAUUAGCUAGUAGGUGGGGUAACGGCUCACCUAGGCGACGAUCCCUAGCUGGUCUGAGAGGAUGACCAGCCACACUGGAACUGAGACACGGUCCAGACUCCUACGGGAGGCAGCAGUGGGGAAUAUUGCACAAUGGGCGCAAGCCUGAUGCAGCCAUGCCGCGUGUGUGAAGAAGGCCUUCGGGUUGUAAAGCACUUUCAGCGGGGAGGAAGGCGUUAAGGUUAAUAACCUUGGCGAUUGACGUUACCCGCAGAAGAAGCACCGGCUAACUCCGUGCCAGCAGCCGCGGUAAUACGGAGGGUGCAAGCGUUAAUCGGAAUUACUGGGCGUAAAGCGCACGCAGGCGGUCUGUCAAGUCGGAUGUGAAAUCCCCGGGCUCAACCUGGGAACUGCAUUCGAAACUGGCAGGCUAGAGUCUUGUAGAGGGGGUAGAAUUCCAGGUGUAGCGGUGAAAUGCGUAGAGAUCUGGAGGAAUACCGGUGGCGAAGGCGGCCCCCUGGACAAAGACUGACGCUCAGGUGCGAAAGCGUGGGGAGCAAACAGGAUUAGAUACCCUGGUAGUCCACGCCGUAAACGAUGUCGAUUUGGAGGUUGUGCCCUUGAGGCGUGGCUUCCGGAGCUAACGCGUUAAAUCGACCGCCUGGGGAGUACGGCCGCAAGGUUAAAACUCAAAUGAAUUGACGGGGGCCCGCACAAGCGGUGGAGCAUGUGGUUUAAUUCGAUGCAACGCGAAGAACCUUACCUGGUCUUGACAUCCACAGAACUUUCCAGAGAUGGAUUGGUGCCUUCGGGAACUGUGAGACAGGUGCUGCAUGGCUGUCGUCAGCUCGUGUUGUGAAAUGUUGGGUUAAGUCCCGCAACGAGCGCAACCCUUAUCCUUUGUUGCCAGCGGUUCGGCCGGGAACUCAAAGGAGACUGCCAGUGAUAAACUGGAGGAAGGUGGGGAUGACGUCAAGUCAUCAUGGCCCUUACGACCAGGGCUACACACGUGCUACAAUGGCAUAUACAAAGAGAAGCGACCUCGCGAGAGCAAGCGGACCUCAUAAAGUAUGUCGUAGUCCGGAUUGGAGUCUGCAACUCGACUCCAUGAAGUCGGAAUCGCUAGUAAUCGUAGAUCAGAAUGCUACGGUGAAUACGUUCCCGGGCCUUGUACACACCGCCCGUCACACCAUGGGAGUGGGUUGCAAAAGAAGUAGGUAGCUUAACCUUCGGGAGGGCGCUUACCACUUUGUGAUUCAUGACUGGGGUGAAGUCGUAACAAGGUAACCGUAGGGGAACCUGCGGUUG
This 1519-nucleotide ribosomal RNA is filed under the name Klebsiella pneumoniae. RNAcentral describes it as "bacterial SSU rRNA". It matches the Rfam family "Bacterial small subunit ribosomal RNA". RNAcentral also lists the same sequence under 1 other name. Lineage: Bacteria; Pseudomonadati; Pseudomonadota; Gammaproteobacteria; Enterobacterales; Enterobacteriaceae. The record is from RNAcentral.